AUCAGGAGCACAAGAAGGGUUCCUUCAAAACCCUAAAACCCAAAAAUUCAACAAAAUCAAAGGGAAAUAGAGCUAGAGAAUUGGGGCUUUAACUAAAUUCGUGAUCACCCCAGUAAAGGGAUCAUAAGACAAAGGAAUCGAGUCUUUAAGCGGACAAACCGGAGUGGACACGCGCUUGAAGGGAAUGCUUUAAAGGUGAAUGUCAAGAGUCCCGGAUGAAGAUCAAGCAUCGAGCAAGAACCGAACACGCGUUAAAUGAAGCUUCCGCAAGUUGUUUCGUCGUUAUUCUAAAACGAUGAAUUAAAUUACAUUAUGUUGUUUUGCUUUCAAGUUUAGUAAAGUUUUAAUAAACCCGUAAUUGAGCAUGAAUGUUUAAAUAUUAAUACUCAGUAAUUUGCGAUUAUUUACAGA
Helianthus annuus (common sunflower) is the source of this 411-nucleotide long non-coding RNA. RefSeq lists it as uncharacterized. The transcript has 3 exons. The record is from RefSeq and is a predicted model, not a curated record. NCBI's taxonomy places the organism in Eukaryota, Viridiplantae, Streptophyta, Magnoliopsida, Asterales, Asteraceae.